This 773-nucleotide ribosomal RNA is filed under the name Streptomycetaceae bacterium. Its description in RNAcentral is "bacterial SSU rRNA". It matches the Rfam family "Bacterial small subunit ribosomal RNA", at positions 25 to 815 of the family's 1533-position model. The record is from RNAcentral. Lineage: Bacteria; Bacillati; Actinomycetota; Actinomycetes; Kitasatosporales; Streptomycetaceae.
CAGGACGAACGCUGGCGGCGUGCUUAACACAUGCAAGUCGAACGAUGAAGCCCUUCGGGGUGGAUUAGUGGCGAACGGGUGAGUAACACGUGGGCAAUCUGCCCUUCACUCUGGGACAAGCCCUGGAAACGGGGUCUAAUACCGGAUACCACUCCUGCCCGCAUGGGUAGGGGUUGAAAGCUCCGGCGGUGAAGGAUGAGCCCGCGGCCUAUCAGCUUGUUGGUGGGGUAAUGGCCCACCAAGGCGACGACGGGUAGCCGGCCUGAGAGGGCGACCGGCCACACUGGGACUGAGACACGGCCCAGACUCCUACGGGAGGCAGCAGUGGGGAAUAUUGCACAAUGGGCGAAAGCCUGAUGCAGCGACGCCGCGUGAGGGAUGACGGCCUUCGGGUUGUAAACCUCUUUCAGCAGGGAAGAAGCGAAAGUGACGGUACCUGCAGAAGAAGCGCCGGCUAACUACGUGCCAGCAGCCGCGGUAAUACGUAGGGCGCAAGCGUUGUCCGGAAUUAUUGGGCGUAAAGAGCUCGUAGGCGGCUUGUCGCGUCGGAUGUGAAAGCCCGGGGCUUAACCCCGGGUCUGCAUUCGAUACGGGCAGGCUAGAGUGUGGUAGGGGAGAUCGGAAUUCCUGGUGUAGCGGUGAAAUGCGCAGAUAUCAGGAGGAACACCGGUGGCGAAGGCGGAUCUCUGGGCCAUUACUGACGCUGAGGAGCGAAAGCGUGGGGAGCGAACAGGAUUAGAUACCCUGGUAGUCCACGCCGUAAACGUUGGGAA